Molecule: ribosomal RNA, 484 nt
Filed under: uncultured bacterium
Lineage: Bacteria
Description: partial 16S ribosomal RNA
Rfam family: Bacterial small subunit ribosomal RNA
Source: RNAcentral
AAUGAACGCUGGCGGCAUGCCUAACACAUGCAAGUCGAGCGAAUUAAGGGGGCUUGCUCCCGGAUUCAGCGGCGGACGGGUGGGUAAUGCCCAGGAGUCUGCCUUAUCUUGGGGAAUAACGUCCGGAAACGGGCGCUAAUAUCGCAUCCGACCUGAUGUAGAAAGUGGGGGAUCUUCGGUCCUCACGCUAUCUGAUGAGCCUAGGUCGGAUUAGCUAGUUGGAGGGGUAAAGGCCUACCAAGGCGACGAACCGUAACUGGUCUGAGAGGAUGAUCAGACACACUGGAACUGAGACACGGUCCAGACUCCUACGGGAGGCAGCAGUGGGGAAUCUUGCGCAAUGGGCGAAAGCCUGAUCUAGCAACGCCGCGUGAGUGAUGAAGGUCUUCGGAUUGGAAAGCACUGUAAGUUGGGAGGAAGGAAAGUAAGUUUAACCCUGACUGUUUUGACGGUACCGACAGAAUAAGCACCGGCUAACUUCGUG